AACGUACGCUGGCGGCACGCCUAACACAUGCAAGUCGAACGAAGUAGCAAUACUUAGUGGCAGACGGGUGAGUAACAUGUGGGUAUCUACCCUUUGGCCUGGAAUAACACGAGGAAACUUGUGCUAAUACCGGAUAAGUCUUUACGGAGAAAGCUUUAUGCACCAUUGGAUGAGCCCGCACUUGAUUAGUUUGUUGGUAGGGUAAUGGCCUACCAAGACUAUGAUCAAUAGCUGAUUUGAGAGGAUGAUCAGCCACAUUGGGACUGAGACACGGCCCAAACUCCUACGGGAGGCAGCAGUGGGGAAUCUUGCACAAUGGAGGAAACUCUGAUGCAGCGAUGCCGCGUGAGUGAAGAAGGCCUUUGGGUUGUAAAGCUCUUUCGUCGGGGAAGAAAAUGACUGUACCCGAAUAAGAAGGUCCGGCUAACUUCGUGCCAGCAGCCGCGGUAAUACGAAGGGACCUAGCGUAGUUCGGAAUUACUGGGCUUAAAGAGUUCGUAGGUGGUUGAAAAAGUUGGUGGUGAAAUCCCAGAGCUUAACUCUGGAACUGCCAUCAAAACUUUUCAGCUAGAGUACGAUAGAGGAAAGCAGAAUUUCUAGUGUAGAGGUGAAAUUCGUAGAUAUUAGAAAGAACACCAAUUGCGAAGGCAGCUCUCUGGAUCAUUACUGACACUGA
RNAcentral lists this ribosomal RNA (676 nucleotides) under alpha proteobacterium IMCC14318. Its description in RNAcentral is "bacterial SSU rRNA". It matches the Rfam family "Bacterial small subunit ribosomal RNA", at positions 28 to 749 of the family's 1533-position model. The record is from RNAcentral. Lineage: Bacteria; Pseudomonadati; Pseudomonadota; Alphaproteobacteria.